RNAcentral lists this ribosomal RNA (497 nucleotides) under uncultured bacterium. RNAcentral's name for it is "partial 16S ribosomal RNA". It matches the Rfam family "Bacterial small subunit ribosomal RNA", at positions 28 to 507 of the family's 1533-position model. The record is from RNAcentral.
GAUGAACGCUGGCGGCGUGCCUAAUACAUGCAAGUCGAGCGAACAGACGAGGAGCUUGCUCCUCUGACGUUAGCGGCGGACGGGUGAGUAACACGUGGAUAACCUACCUAUAAGACUGGGAUAACUUCGGGAAACCGGAGCUAAUACCGGAUAAUAUAUUGAACCGCAUGGUUCAAUAGUGAAAGACGGUUUUGCUGUCACUUAUAGAUGGAUCCGCGCCGCAUUAGCUAGUUGGUAAGGUAACGGCUUACCAAGGCAACGAUGCGUAGCCGACCUGAGAGGGUGAUCGGCCACACUGGAACUGAGACACGGUCCAGACUCCUAAGGGAGGCAGCAGUAGGGAAUCUUCCGCAAUGGGCGAAAGCCUGACGGAGCAACGCCGCGUGAGUGAUGAAGGUCUUCGGAUCGUAAAACUCUGUUAUGAGGGAAGAACAAAUGUGUAAGUAACUAUGCACGUCUUGACGGUACCUAAUCAGAAAGCCACGGCUAACUACGUG